CUGAGAGGAUGACCAGCCACACUGGAACUGAGACACGGUCCAGACUCCUACGGGAGGCAGCAGUGGGGAAUAUUGCACAAUGGGCGCAAGCCUGAUGCAGCCAUGCCGCGUGUAUGAAGAAGGCCUUCGGGUUGUAAAGUACUUUCAGCGGGGAGGAAGGGAGUAAAGUUAAUACCUUUGCUCAUUGACGUUACCCGCAGAAGAAGCACCGGCUAACUCCGUGCCAGCAGCCGCGGUAAUACGGAGGGUGCAAGCGUUAAUCGGAAUUACUGGGCGUAAAGCGCACGCAGGCGGUUUGUUAAGUCAGAUGUGAAAUCCCCGGGCUCAACCUGGGAACUGCAUCUGAUACUGGCAAGCUUGAGUCUCGUAGAGGGGGGUAGAAUUCCAGGUGUAGCGGUGAAAUGCGUAGAGAUCUGGAGGAAUACCG
Molecule: ribosomal RNA, 427 nt
Filed under: Escherichia coli
Lineage: Bacteria; Pseudomonadati; Pseudomonadota; Gammaproteobacteria; Enterobacterales; Enterobacteriaceae
Description: bacterial SSU rRNA
Rfam family: Bacterial small subunit ribosomal RNA
Source: RNAcentral